UCUAGACAGGAACCGGACUUGAAGAGGCAGCCCUGGAGAAUGAAAUAUGAAACACCUCAUUCAAAAGCUGCAACAGGAAAAAGGGAAGGAAAACAUUCUCUCUGUUUAACAAUCAAACUUUUGAAACGGCCUGUCCAAAACGCGGCCCACAAUGCUGGGUGCACUGCCUGUGAUACUGAAGCACCAAUAGCAUCCCAGCAAUAUCACUGGAAAUCAAAUUGGCCUCUGAGCGGUAAUUGCGUCAGACACUGAGGCUCCGUUCAGCCAGUCAAGUGUGAAAUAGAGGGAUUUUUAAGCAUGAGUGAAGUGAAAAGAUCAAUGCUGCCUCGACCGCAAGUCACUACCCUCAUGGGUCAACAGCGUGAGCUUCGCCGAACGCUGGGGUCACAAGUUUCCAUCCUUACCACACAAUCCCAAAAGAGCUUUGCAGAAAGGAGGAGGUGAUCAGAGACUGCAUGGGGGUCUGGAGUUACUAACCAACCUUUUCUUGCCAUCUGAAAGCCUGAAGCAAAGCACAAAGGCAGGCACCAGACUCUCCGUGGCUUUUCAAAACACUAGAGAAGACAUUUUUAUUAACAGGCCUCCUGGGUCUGGGAUGUGAAUCACCAUAUGUAGACAGCCAGCUUGUCUCAGUUUCAGCUUAGAGGCCUCUGCUGUUGGCCUGCCUGGGCCAGUGCAGCAGCCAUGGAGAGGGACAAGAACCAUUUGCCAUAUGCUGAGGGAUUACUGUAUAAAAAAGAGAGACGUUUGGCUGUGCUCCAAGGUACAAGGUUUCCAAAUACAGUUUCAAUCCUGGACAGAAAAGUUCCAGCUAAAUAUAGCCAUGACAGUUCAGAGUUGACAUUUUUUUCCUCAAGUUCACUUAAAAUAGUCUGGCAGCAGAUUUUUGCCCUUUAAGUGAGGAGACGAGGUAAGCAUUACAUAUACAAAGUUUAUAUAGACAAUAAACAGUUCCUGCAAAGCUCAGAGGAUCUAGCUUGGGGCACUUCUACGCUCAGGAGUCCUUUUGUAGUCUACGGUUGCACCUUAGCUGCGAGAGACGGAAGACAUGUAUGUCUUCUGCUUAAAGGCAGAGGCUACUAAACCCUGUUGCUCUGGCUAGAGCAUACCCAGUACUGUUAAGGACCUUGUUAUUCUUUUGGGGCUAAUUCCAUUUAUCUCAAGGCAGAGGGAGGCUAAUGCUGAUAUAUGGCUCUUAAUAAAAGCUUAUCAAUGUUAUACUUGAUCAGUAGAUUAAACCAGCAGCCCAGGAUUCCUACGCAUGUCCCAACAGUGGCUGCACUGGAGAGAACUACCCAGUCUCUCCGACAAACAUCUGUACAUGCACUUUACAUGUGAAGGAGAGUUAUGGCUGGAUCUGCCUUGUCAAAGCAGACCAUAAAGAGGCAUUGGGAAUUUCACCGGAGGUCCCCAUAGAUUGGUUUGUGCUGCUCCUCCCUCAGCUCCUCUGAACUCUGGACAAGGACAUGUCUCACCAUACUAUCUAGACUGGAUGUACAUGGAUGCGAUGAUGCCCAUGGUCUUUGACAAACUUGCAUCCUGUAGACAAAGUGCUCCCAUGUUCUCCAUCCACAAUAAACAGACCCUCCUCCAUUGUGCCUACCAGAGAGCAUAGGGAACCCAGAAAUCAUCAUCAGGGCAGGCUUGGUCUGCAAGCCAGAGUCAUGGCAAUCCUUCUCAGGGAAGGGCUGUACAGCUCCCUGCCACUUGGGAGACCACACAAAGGUCCUCAUAUACAAUCCCUCCACUCCCAAGUCCACAACCAUUGAAGUCCAGCUAGAGGCUAGAGAGAGGCCUGGAUCUGCCACCCUGUAUGGUUUCACGCCACUGCUUCCUCCUUCCCUUCUUGCUGGUCAUCCUCACACCUGCCUUGCCAGUGGUGUGCCUCAUACCCCCUUCCAGCAUCAGCACCCCCUGCAAGACACAGUGGGAGUAGGGACCCAAGGAGAUCACAAGGCAUACUUCCUUCUCCUUUGCUGCUUCAGGGAAGAGCUGACUUGGAAGAAGGAAUACCACCUCCCAAGCCAUCACCACCCAUUCCCUGUGCCACAUCAAUCUGACCAGGAGAGGUCUCUCGACACAGCCUCAGACAGCUCCAGCUUUAUUUUAAUGUGCUAACCAGUUGUGAGGGAGCAGGCUUCAAAGCAGCAGACUUCCACUCUGAGUAGCAGACACACUUUGAGCAAGUUUGAUCUGUUAAGCCCCCUGGCCAACAAGUUGAGCUGCAUCAGUCACUCUUAGACAAGCGCUCUCUGCCACAUGCAUUCCUAGAUGAUGCUAUGCAAUCACUGGUCAUGGUUCUGUACACACAGCUGGAAGGCCGGCACACCGGGCAUCACUUCAUCCUGGAGGAAGGGGCCUCCUUUGCUUCUACCUUAUGCCAGAUGGCUGUGAUCUGGAGCAGAGCUCCACAGUCAUCUGGAACUACAGCCAUAUUUAGGGAAUAAGAAUGCAUCAACUCAACCUGGAACUGGAGCAGGUCCUCUCUUGAAAUAAGGGCUCUGUUCAUCAUAGCAGGCCUAGGAUCUCUUGAGUGGUCUGCCAUUCCCCAGGUGGCCUGCUCUGGCCUCUUUCCCUCUCUGGCACACUAACAACCCCCUGCCUCCCCUACCCUGCCUUGGUAUUAUUGUAAUAAACUUGGGAGGCAGCCAGGAGGAUACUUCAGGUGCCUUUUCCCAUGCUGUUCAUCAUGGGAAGGCAUCUGGAAAUCCCUAGCCUUUACUGAGAAAACUCACUUUCUUUCUCUGAGACUCACAACUAGCAGUUGAUAUCCAGGGCUUUCUCUGCCCUCUCAAUUAACAGUCCCUAACUAAGGCUCUCUUCCUAGCCCCAAUUCACAGUCCACGGGGACUGGCACCCCCUAUCAGAGUCCACAUAGAAUAAGCUCUUGAAACAAAUGGAUAGUCUGUUUCCAGUUCCAGGAGACCACCCAAUCUUAGUGCCACACACUUCACCUCCCCACUGGGCUUACUCUUAACACCCUCCAUCUCUCUCUGCUGGUUUAGGACCUUUAGCCUAGUCUCAAGAUUCCUUGGGCUUGCCCCGCCCCCCCCCCCAAGUCCUCAAGCCUUUGUCAGCUCCACCAAGCACCCCACUUCCAGAGGACUCUCAGCAGUCUCCCCAACAAUCCCACGGCUGUCCUGUGCUUCAAACAAGCCAAAAAAUCUGCCUUAGCACAAACCCACAGUCUCACAAAAGCAACACCAUCCUGCCAAGGUGCUGUCCCUCUGUUCAUAGGCUCAAAACCGCUCAGCCCUGCUAGGCUUAUGCACUGCACUUCAAUUCACUGCAGGCCUCCUAGGAGCAUCUUCUUCCCCCAGGGUUAGAAUCAGACUGCAAGCUCUGCUCCUGGAGCUUGGCUUAUAUGGUGAAUAAGCUCCACCCCCUCUGGUCAUUAUGCAAAACAGGUUUGCCCUUAAAGGCACCUCUCCUCAAGAACCAGUGGUGACAAGUGAAGGUCAUGAACAUCCAGAUUUUCACUGACCAACAUGACAUUAGAAACUUCUGACAAGCAAUAAAAAACAUUCACAGGCCAUGUUGCACUGGCCUAGCCCCCUUGUGAUCCCAGGAUGGCUCCACCCUUCUCACAGAUAAUCAAGCAAAGCUGGAAAGAGCACUUCAAGUCUCUACUUAACCAUGGAUCUGAGGUCUCAGCUGCCACCAUCGAGUCCAUCCCUCAACACCCAGUAAGAGAACCUCUUGCUGAUCCCCUAUCCUUCAAGGAUGUCUAGUAUGCCAUCACUCAGACCAAGAACAAUAAGGCACUAGGCCCAGAUGGCAUCCCCGCAGAGGUCUUUAAAGUUGGUAGAACAGCAUUAGCACAACAUUUCACCAACUGUUCAUCAAAAUAUGAGUUAAUGAGGAAGUUCCACCUGACUUAAAGAAUGCCAACAUUGUGACCAUCUUCAAGAAAGGGGACAAGUCAGUGUGUGGGAACUACUAAGGCACUGCCCUCUUCUCCAUUGCCAGGAAGAUUAUUACCUGUAUCCUUCUGAAUCACUUCUUCCCCCUUUCCGAAGAUGUCCUCCCAGAAUCCCAGUUUGGUUUUAGACCAUCUCAGCGACGUAAUUUUUGUUGCAUGACAGAUCCAGGGGAAGCGUAGAAAGCAACACCAAGAGCUGCUUAUGGUAUUCGUUACCCUAAGCAAGGCCUUCAACUCCAUCAAUUGUGAAGCCUUAUGGAAGCUGCUGGUUAGGUCUGGUUGUCCACUGAGGCUCAUCAGCAUCCUCAGGCUACUCCAUGAUGGGAUGACUGCCACAGUCCUUUGCAGUGGAUCAGAGACAGAGCCAUUUGCCAUCUGUACUGGUGUCAAGUAGGGCAGCAGCAUCUCCCCAAACCUUUUCUCCAUCUAUCUUGCUGUGAUUUUGAUUCCCAUCUGUGACCACCUUCCUCCUGAAAUUGGGGUUGAGUAUCAAAUGGACAGUCAACUUUUCAACCUGCAGCGCCUUCACAGCAAAAUGAAAAUUACCAAAACUGGCAUCACCGACCUUCAGUAUGCUGACGACUGUGUUAUCCUUGUGCACACUGAGACUGAUCUGGAGUCCACCCUUGACCUUUUCUCAGGUGCCUAUCACAGCCUGGGACUCUCCUUUAACAUUGGGAAGAACAAGGUGAUCCAUCAGCCUGCCCCAGCACAAGCUGCCCUCCUCCCCCCACAAAUUAGCACUGAUGGAGAACCUCAGGAAAACAUUGAGCAUUUCCCAUACCUUGGUAGCCACCUCUCCCAGUCAUUCUUGAUAUAGAAAUCGAAUAUAGGAUUCACUGUGCCAACGUAUCCUUCAGAAAGCUGCUUCGCCAUGUCUUUGCUGACCAAGAUCUGCAGAUGGAAGCUAAGAUCCUGGUCUACAAUGCAUUGAUUAUCCCCACACUCCUCUAUGAGUGUGAAACAUGGGUGAUGUAUCAAACCCAUCUUAUGUGCCUGGAACAGUUCCAUCAGCAUUGCCUCAGGAAGAUCCUUUGCACGAGAUGGGAAGACCACUGCACCAAUGCCAGCAUCCUCUUUGCAGCUAACAUAACCAGCAUUGAGGCCAAAGAUCAUGAAAUAUCAACUGCACUGUGCUGGCCACUGUGCACUGAUGGCUGACACUUGUUUCCCAAAGCAAGUCCUCUUCUUUCAAGUCAAUCAUGGUAAGAGGACCCACAGAGGACAGAGGAAGCACUACAAGGACACCCUGAAAGCAAACCUUAAGGAGGGUGAAAUCACCCUUACAAACUGGGAAGUGCUGGCUGGUAACAGGUCUCAAUGGCACUGCAUUAUACAUCAAGCUAGAGCUCACAUUGAAGAGAACUGUCUUGCUCUGGAAGCCAAGAAAUGGCAGAGAAGGAAGGAAAGUGCACAACAUCCUGGCCAACAGCUGUGCACCCACCAAGGCACCACUUGUCAUAUCUGUGGAAAACCUUGCAGAGCACCGAUUGGCCUCCUCAGCCCCUUAAAACUCACCAGUAAUCUCCCUCCCUCCCCUGUCCCCUCUCCAGCAGACAUCAGCCCUGUAUUGAGUGAUAGCUGAUGAUGAUUUUUUCCACAUCUUCAGUAACAGGGAAAGGGCCCUUAUUACACUCAUGACCACUAGCAUUUCACUGGAGACAGGCCCAGGAUUUAAAAUUGGAGACCCUCUGUAUUUAACCUUGUUUCUGUUUGUGAUUUGGUCUGGCCAGUUGCACUAGCAACCUCACACUGAGGCAGCAGGAACCGAGGUCCCUUCCAGCCCUUAUGUCUAUGAAAUCUAUGAAACUGAGUUAGAAGGAGGAAUACCAGUCACCACCACCAUUCACAGUGCCAGCACAGUCUAACCAGGGAGGUCUCCCGGCCUGACCUCAGCCAGGGACAGCACUGUUGCAGUGUGCUGGUUCUGACUUGAUCACUGGCACUUACUGUGAUACAAAUCAAGAGUGACAUGACAUCUGGUCUCAGAGCUUACAUAUUGCUAUGGUGAUAAAUGAGAUUGUGUUUUAAUAAAAUGGCAACACUGAGCUCUUGAAAAAAGUUAAGAAUGUCCUUUUCAUCUAGAAGGGGCUCUGUGUGCAUUAACUCUUCAGAAACCAACACCCUGAGUCUACCAUCUCUGGCCCUCAUUCUGAACAGACUUCUGGAGCUGUGCAAACACUGGAGGUCAGGGUCCGGGUCUCUGAAGAGCAGUAAUCUGAGGUUCUGAGUGCUUCACAGCACCUGCAGGGACUUGAGGCUGUAUAAGAAGCAGGGGAAGGGCUAGAGUUGUGCCAGAAGCUGUAUCUGGCUAUUUGGGGCUGGGCAGCCUGAGGUGGUCGGAUGUGAUGCCAGCCACUUCUCUCAUGCAUUGCUGUCUACAGUGCACCUUAGCUGUGCUGGUACAAUGAGUUAUUGGGCUCUGAAGAACCUUUGGCUUGGAUCUAUGAAACCAAUUCUUUCUUAGAUGUUACUGGAAGGAUGGUGCGCUUCUCAACUGGGUUGGAUGAUCAGAAUGAAGUGCACAAACAACAGGGAGCCAACCUGCAGCACAGGCAUCCAAAUCUCAGUCCAGAGAACAGGCAGCAUGCUGCACUGAAUCAGAGAAAAGGCAGAGAGUGAGGAAGCUGAUGGAAAAGCUUGAGGCUGAGACUCUUUGCUGGGGGCUUAUGGAAGCUGUCAGGAACCCAGAGCAUGGCUAGUAUGAACUAACAUUUCCAACCACUUGCAAUGUAAUGACAUAUAGUCUGUCUGGUUAGUAAUGAUAAACAUCACCUGGGAGCUCUAUCUCACAGAGAUAAGAAAUACUGCUGGAAAAGUCUCUUCCUGAAAGCCCAGCAAAAAACCUUUUGUUUAAUUUAUAAGGCUCGGGCUAUUUUUAGCCUGCAUAUCUUUGGGCCCUUUAUCUGUGACUGCUGCUCUAAGCAAACAGCUGGGGCAGUCUAAUUAUUUUUUUGUCAAGCAGGUACUCAUCUCUGACCUCUUCUAUUUUCUGUUGCUUUAUUAACCACUUGGCUGGAGAAGAAAAUUGGAGAGAGAGACGCAGAAGGAAGGUGCUCAAGUGAGGAAGGCUAGGUUAAGAGGGAAGGGUAACAACAGUAAGGUAGUAUACAGCACACAGAGAAAGGGAAAACAUGCUUGCCCAAAGAUGUCCUUUCAUAGAUUCAUUACAUGGGGUCUUCAGUCUGCUUGGUGAUGGAAGGCAAACCCAUCCCUGUCACUAGCAUGGAGGGGCGCGGCCCAGGCCUGAAACCCCAUGCAGUAGGAAAGCAGCAAAGGAGAACAGCCAGGGCAGAAGUUGCUACGAAUAUCACUUGGAAACACAAUUGUGCCGCAGUAUCCUCAGAAUUUCUCAACCCAGACAGAAGCAGCAUUGGAUCCCAGCUUCUUUUGAACAAUCUGCCUGUUGGGUUUGCGGGCCUUCAUAUUUGGAGAGGAAACUCUGAAGGAAACUUGGAAACAUUAGAGCAGCAAAUGGCAAUGUUUGCUAACCACGGGCCAGAAUGACCCAGCUCUGGUCCCAAGUGGGCUGGAAGUAGGACUUGGUGGUUGUUGCUGCUUUUCUCUGCUGCCCGGUCUGUUGUCCAGCCCCAGCAAAGACAAAACCCUUUGCCUCCCAACGGCGUUGUGGAUGAAGCCUCCAUCACUGAAUGACAUUGAAGUCGCCCUGGCUCCACAGACCAUAGGUUGCCAACCCCUGCAUUAUAACAUAUUCGGGGAUGGAAAAAAAGAGAUGCCAGCUCUCUAGAGAGAGAACAACUCAAUGCUCUUUUCUUGAGGAAGUACAGAUAGGAGCACUUGUUUCACCAUGGCUACAGCUACAGAAGUGGGGACCAGUUCCUAUUUCUCCUAUUAGGCAUGUAAAUUGAGUACCUAAGUACUAAGGCAUGUGAUUCUAUUCCAGCCUGCUCAUAUCCCUGGAAAAGAAUUAGUGCAAAAGGUGGGUGGGUCCUCAUCUGCCUCACUGCUUUUUUGUGACUCAACCUUAAGGCUAAGAGGACGGUGUGUUACAAGAGUAGUGUCACAACCCAAAGUUGUGAGUUUUUGUUUGUGUGCGCUUGGGCACCACUGAAUUAUUUCCCGCCAAAUUGCAGCUUCUUUGCACGGUGGAGUUUUCCGCUGCAGAGGAGAACCCCAGGUGCAAAAGAAGUUCCCGCCGUUUUGUAGCUUUCUUUGCAGUGUGCAUUUCUUCUUUGCAGCACAGAAAUGCUCGUUGCAAGGAGUUCCCGCCAUUCAUAUUCAAAUUUGUGCCCCACCAUUGGCUAGUUCUAAAUUAUUCACACGUAGCGGCUAGUGAUUGGCUUGCUAGCCGUAUAAAGAGCUUGAGUGGUUUCUGCCCAAGUUGGAGGACUCCACGAACACCAGGAGGAGGAGACUUCACGCUGUGUGAAGAUCUCUAAGCGCUGCAGAUCCUUACGGACCCAAUGCGUUUCAAGCAGGCAACAGAGGUCUGAUCAGCCUCUAGCCUCUCCCCAUCACCGAGCGCAAUCCCGAUGUAUCCUUCUUCCCUGCGCGCAAAAAGGAUCCACAGAGCCUAGCAAACUUUGUGUGAGUGUAUUCAGAGCUCUUGUUUUGUUUCGAGUACUUUCUUCGGUUGGCGCGACGGGCUCGCGGUUUAAAGCCUCCAACUGGUUGGGCUAGAAGAGUGUUCACGGGAAGGAACUCUAGUCCACCUCUCUUCUUUUAUAUCUGCAACUGUAACUCAAGCAAGUUUUCCUGCCUGCACUGCAACCAUCUUGGGUGUAAGUAAAUAAUCUUUAAAUCAA
Long non-coding RNA from Alligator mississippiensis (American alligator), 8688 nucleotides. RefSeq lists it as uncharacterized. The record is from RefSeq and is a predicted model, not a curated record. The transcript is spliced from 2 exons. Lineage: Eukaryota; Metazoa; Chordata; Crocodylia; Alligatoridae.